AGUGAGGUGGCUGAGCUUUAAGCGAUAAACUGUAAAUUUAUUAACGGAUUUUAUCCCCUUACUA
Molecule: transfer RNA, 64 nt
Filed under: Cryptalaus yamato
Lineage: Eukaryota; Metazoa; Arthropoda; Insecta; Coleoptera; Elateridae
Description: tRNA-Tyr
Rfam family: tRNA
About the family: Transfer RNA (tRNA) molecules are approximately 80 nucleotides in length.
Source: RNAcentral